RNAcentral lists this ribosomal RNA (507 nucleotides) under uncultured bacterium. RNAcentral describes it as "partial 16S ribosomal RNA". It matches the Rfam family "Bacterial small subunit ribosomal RNA", at positions 28 to 507 of the family's 1533-position model. The record is from RNAcentral.
GACGAACGCUGGCGGCGUGCUUAACACAUGCAAGUCGAACGGGCCUUGUCCCCUUUUUUUUUGGGGGUGGGGUUAGUGGCGAACGGGUGAGUAACACGUGAGUAACCUGCCCCUCACUUCUGGAUAACCGCUUGAAAGGGUGGCUAAUACGGGGUGUUCUGGCCUGCUCGCAUGGGUGGGUUUGGAAAGAUUCGACCGGUUUGGUUGUUUUGGUGGGGGAUGGGCUCGCGGCCUAUCAGCUGGUUGGUGGGGUGAUGGCCUGCCAAGGCUUUGACGGGUAGCCGGCCUGAGAGGGUGGGCGGUCACACUGGGACUGAGACACGGCCCAGACUCCUACGGGAGGCAGCAGUGGGGAAUAUUGCACAAUGGGCGCAAGCCUGAUGCAGCGACGCCGCGUGAGGGAUGGAGGCCUUCGGGUUGUGAACCUCUUUCGCCAGUGAAGAAGGUCCUGCUCUUUGUGGUGGGGUUGACGGUAGCUGGGUUAAUGAAGCGCCGGCUAACUACGUG